AUGGAUCCUUAUAUACAAAACAUACUUGGCCAACUAAGGCCCUGCAGUCCAAUGUCCGAUAUAUUAUCGUCAGCUGAGGAGGUGUUUGGCAAGGGUGUGACCGUUGUUUUUGGGACAAUGUUCAAGCAGGAGGCCAUGAAUCUGUCUAGUCUCGCCAUGGGGGGUGAGUUUAUCUCAUUGCUCCUUCCUGGUGUAAAGCCGAUCACUGAGGUUUAUGUCUAUCAAACCGAGCUCUUGAACCCAAUGUUUGGAACAUCAACGUCCCUCUCCAGUCGUAAUCAGGAUUUGAUCUAUCAUGAAGUUUUAGCGCCACAUAAGAUCCACGGCAUGUUAUCUGUCGGUGCAGCGGCUUUGAGUUGUCGGAAAAAAAGCCAGGAGCUUAAGUAA
This 387-nucleotide ribosomal RNA is filed under the name Triticum aestivum (bread wheat). RNAcentral's name for it is "partial small subunit ribosomal RNA". Lineage: Eukaryota; Viridiplantae; Streptophyta; Magnoliopsida; Poales; Poaceae. The record is from RNAcentral.